Molecule: transfer RNA, 64 nt
Filed under: Salmo salar (Atlantic salmon)
Lineage: Eukaryota; Metazoa; Chordata; Actinopteri; Salmoniformes; Salmonidae
Rfam family: tRNA
About the family: Transfer RNA (tRNA) molecules are approximately 80 nucleotides in length. Their secondary structure includes four short double-helical elements and three loops (D, anti-codon, and T loops).
Source: Rfam by way of RNAcentral
UCCUGUGUGGCUCAAUCGGUAGAGCAUGGCGCUUACACCGUCAUGGGUUCGAAUCCCGCUGGGG